This 323-nucleotide ribosomal RNA is filed under the name uncultured eukaryote. RNAcentral's name for it is "partial 18S ribosomal RNA". It matches the Rfam family "Eukaryotic small subunit ribosomal RNA", at positions 1470 to 1796 of the family's 1831-position model. The record is from RNAcentral.
CCCUUAGAUGUUCUGGGCAGCACGCGCGCUACAAUGGUCUUCGCAAACGGAUGCAUUCUCGAAGGAGAAUGCCAAUCUUGGAAUCUAUGCCUUGGUCGGGACAGUUGCUUGCAAUUUUUCGACUCGAACCAGGAAUUCCUUGUAAUCGUGAUUCAUCACAUCACGAUGAAUACGUCCCUGCCCUUUGUACACACCGCCCGUCGCUCCUACCGAUUGAAUGGUCCGGUGAAGCGUUCGGACCGUGGCCUUUGGACGGUUCGCCGUCUGUUGGCUGCGGGAAGUUCGUUAAACCUUAUCAUUUAGAGGAAGGAGAAGUCGUAACA